UUCUACACUUUUCUAUCUUCAUUUUGAUAUAUUAUGGGUCAAAUUUGAGAAACGAUUGAGUUACGAAACUUUGAAAAUUGCCCAAAGAGUUUUUAACAGAAUGACCAAAAUCAUGGACGGUGGAUAAUCUUAAGGACCAUUUCUAUUGAUUUUCAAUCUCAGUGACCAUUUCUAUUGAUUAUGCAAAUCUCAGGAAUCAUUUUGUAUAUUUAGCGUUUUUGUUUUGAU
RNAcentral lists this long non-coding RNA (228 nucleotides) under Malus domestica (apple). RNAcentral describes it as "long non-coding RNA (MDOM_LNC017231)". The record is from RNAcentral. Lineage: Eukaryota; Viridiplantae; Streptophyta; Magnoliopsida; Rosales; Rosaceae.